CACAAAGAGUGGAAGCAGGGAGAGUCCAGCAUGCUUCCAGUAAUGGACUGGAUGGUAUGGGCUGUUCUACAGUCAGAAUGCUCUGAGGAGGAUUCCGUCCCCAGACUGUGGGUAAGGAGUAAACAGAGAUCCAAAAUCACAGUUGGAUUACGGAUUCCUAACACAGUUUGGAAUUGGAUAACAAAAUCAACAGGUAAAGCUCAACUGAUAUAAUUCGAG
This 219-nucleotide long non-coding RNA is filed under the name Sinocyclocheilus grahami. RNAcentral's name for it is "lncRNA (ENSSGRG00000003113.1)". Lineage: Eukaryota; Metazoa; Chordata; Actinopteri; Cypriniformes; Cyprinidae. The record is from RNAcentral.